CUUUCAUAAUCAUAAAUUAGCAACCUCCUUAGAACAUGGUUACAAUGUUAUAUGUCUGGGUAAAUUAUUACACUAACUGAGAGAAGAACUUGUACAAAUUAUUUAAAUCUAUAUCAUUGUAUAUUAGAGACCUACUGCAAAAUCAUGUGCCAUAAAAUUUCUUUAACUGACCAUUAUACAUGUUAUAGUACUAAAAGUAUUUAC
Molecule: long non-coding RNA, 204 nt
Filed under: Mytilus galloprovincialis (Mediterranean mussel)
Lineage: Eukaryota; Metazoa; Mollusca; Bivalvia; Mytilida; Mytilidae
Source: RNAcentral